UGUUGUAAAUUACUGAUUAGACCAAGUAGCAGAAUUCAGCUGCUUACAGAGAGCGUUUGGUUUGCGUCACACUAGGUCUGGACUACCUGAUCAUGAAUUACCUAUGGCGAGGUUUUUUGGUUUUUGCAAUUGCCACAGCGCUUGAAAUGUCUGAAGAUAGUAAUGAGGCUAUCCAAAUUACAUGUGAGAAGGGUUCCGUUCAUGUUAAGUGGAAAGUGGAUAAAUCGAUGACUGCAAAUCCUGCUCGUCUAUUCCUGGGUAGCUGCUAUCCUUCACGGUUCUCAAAUGUGUCAAAUGAAGGAGCAAAUGCAGACUUUUACUAUCCGCUUACUGAUUGUGACUUCAGACGAACGGCAACAUGGAAAUACUUGGUGUAUGAGAACAAGCUAACCUACAGGCCGAUGCCAAAGCCCUACCCUCCUUCUUUCAGCUAUCCAGUUAGAUGUGUGUAUGACAGGCCGAAGGGUUGGACUCCUGCCUUCCAGAGCCUUUCUGCUGGAGUCAUCCAAGGUCAUGGAGAACUGGCCUUUCACAUGGCAAUUCUCAAUUAUGAUUUCAGUGGCCCUGCAGAAUCCAAUGUCUUUCCACUGGGAUCUUUUGUUCCUAUUUGGGCUGGUGUUAACCAGCAAGGCCAUCAGCCUCUGCUGCUGCUUCUGGAGGAAUGUAUAGCCUCCACAACACUUGAAAUCUACCCAGAUACUCUUACGUACCCACUCAUCACCAAUAAAGGGUGUCUCAUGGAUAGUAAGAACAGCUUCUCCAGGUUUUUACCAAGGUAUCACUCCUCCUCGAUGAUUCUUCACCUUCAAGCGUUCAGAUUCGCUGUGGGACAAGAGGUCUACAUCCAUUGCAAAUUAAUUGCAUGGGACCCUGACAACCUCAACGAAGCGAAGAAGGCCUGCAAUUAUAAUAAAGCCACAGGAGAGUGGGAGCUGUUAGACGACCCAUUCCAGAGUUCUCUUUGUCAGUGCUGUGAUUCAACAUGUCAAGGCCGUGGAAAGAGGGACACAGAUUCUGCACCUCAAGGACUGGUGCUAAAGUCUGUGUUGGGACCUUUGACAAUUACAGAAGAUUCGUCGUGAUGUUACUCUGACGUGCCAUCCUUAUCUUUUUGGUUUGUUUUUCCUCCUUGGUAGGCACAGUGGCUGUCUAGUGAUGCAAUGGAUAACUGACAGAUGCAGGAUUCCUGACCGAAGGGAGUCAUUAGGAGUGGCCCAAUCAGUCAUCAGAUUUGACUACUUCAUCUUUUAUACGUCACGUUGUCCAUUAAAUGACUUUGGAACAUCCUUUGAGUCUAUUACUUGAAACUUUCCUGCUGUGAUCUCUUUAACUUUCUCAUAAAUGAUGUAAAUCUUCUAAAAGUGCAGCUGUGUCAAUGCAGUUUUGGAUGGCUCAUAUAUUUUCAAUAUUGCUCUCAGAUAUAUCAUCAUACUGAUUACUCUAAAUUAAGGGAACAGGUUAAAUGCAUUGUGAAAAUCUGGUGUAUCUGAUUUGUAAAAAAUGAAAUGAAAAUGUAGUUGUACGCUUGCUCAGGUGUGAAAUGAAAAUCCACAGAAAUGCACAUUUACAGAUAUUCACUGAACCCGAGCUCAUAAAAACUAUUUUUGCAACCUGCUGUAAUGCUGCUUGGGAGUGAUUAUGA
This is an RNA transcript of Labeo rohita (rohu), 1642 nucleotides long. It is a transcript of the gene named zona pellucida glycoprotein 3f, tandem duplicate 2, with no coding region annotated. Lineage: Eukaryota; Metazoa; Chordata; Actinopteri; Cypriniformes; Cyprinidae. The transcript has 11 exons. The record is from RefSeq and is a predicted model, not a curated record.